RNAcentral lists this unclassified non-coding RNA (329 nucleotides) under soil metagenome. RNAcentral's name for it is "partial contains 5.8S ribosomal RNA, internal transcribed spacer 2, and large subunit ribosomal RNA". The stretch from base 1 to 120 matches the Rfam family "5.8S ribosomal RNA", at positions 35 to 154 of the family's 154-position model. The record is from RNAcentral.
GAUGAAGAACGCAGCGAAAUGCGAUAAGUAAUGUGAAUUGCAGAAUUCAGUGAAUCAUCGAAUCUUUGAACGCACAUUGCGCCCUCUGGUAUUCCGGGGGGCAUGCCUGUUCGAGCGUCAUUAUAACCACUCAAGCUCUCGCUUGGUAUUGGAGUUCGCGAUCUCGCGGCUCCUAAAAUCAGUGGCGGUGCCUGUCGGCUCUACGCGUAGUAAUACUCCUCGCGAUUGAGUCCGGUAGGUUUACUUGUCAGCAACCCCCAAUUUUUACAGGUUGACCUCGGAUCAGGUAGGGAUACCCGCUGAACUUAAGCAUAUCAAUAAGCGGAGGA